This 474-nucleotide ribosomal RNA is filed under the name uncultured bacterium. Its description in RNAcentral is "partial 16S ribosomal RNA". It matches the Rfam family "Bacterial small subunit ribosomal RNA", at positions 28 to 507 of the family's 1533-position model. The record is from RNAcentral.
GACGAACGCUGGCGGCGUGCUUAACACAUGCAAGUCGAGCGGUAAGGCUCCUUCGGGAGUACACGAGCGGCGAACGGGUGAGUAACACGUGAGUAAUCUGCCCUUCACUUCGGGAUAACCACCGGAAACGGUGGCUAAUACCGAAUACGACCAGUCUUCGCAUGAGGUGCUGGUGGAAAGUCUUUUCGGUGAAGGAUGUGCUCGCGGCCUAUCAGCUUGUUGGUGGGGUAAUGGCCUACCAAGGCUUCGACGGGUAGCCGGCCUGAGAGGGUGACCGGCCACACUGGGACUGAGACACGGCCCAGACUCCUCCGUGAGGCAGCUGUGGGGAAUAUUGGACAAUGGGCGAAAGCCUGAUCCAGCAACGCCGCGUGAGGGAUGACGGCCUUCGGGUUGUAUACCUCUUUCAGUACCGACGAAGCGCCCUGUCGGGUGGUGACGGUAGGUACAGAAGAAGGACCGGCCAACUACGUG